GGGACCGUGGUGUAGGGAAAAGCGUGAUUGUCUCUCACCCAGUCGGCCUGGGUUCGAUCCCAGACGGUCCCG
RNAcentral lists this transfer RNA (72 nucleotides) under Culex quinquefasciatus (southern house mosquito). It matches the Rfam family "tRNA". Rfam says of the family: Transfer RNA (tRNA) molecules are approximately 80 nucleotides in length. The record is from Rfam by way of RNAcentral. Lineage: Eukaryota; Metazoa; Arthropoda; Insecta; Diptera; Culicidae.